This 927-nucleotide long non-coding RNA is filed under the name Mustela putorius furo (domestic ferret). RNAcentral's name for it is "lncRNA (ENSMPUG00000024015.1)". The record is from RNAcentral. Lineage: Eukaryota; Metazoa; Chordata; Mammalia; Carnivora; Mustelidae.
GGCAAUGUGCUGAGCGUGGGAGAGAGGACCGAGGCGAACGAGAUCCAGUCCAUGUCGUUAAAGUUCAAGGCCGCUGCAGGACCGGGUGAGGAAGAGCAAACAGGCCCCAUGUCACCUGCUGGGGCUUGCAGCUGCGGGAACCUCCUGGAGCCUGGGGGUAAGGGGCGAUUCUCAGGAAAGCCUUCUUGGGGGAAGUCGUUCUGAGCCGAGCCUUGACGGAGGACGUGAGAUGUUCAUACCUCCCCCCCCCCCCAAUUCCUGGAAUGGAACAUUCCAGUUUCUUCUCUCACAGAAGAAGGAAGCAUAGAUCUUCAGGCUUGGAGGAGUUCCACGUCCAGCUAAAUCCCCAACCAGCCACAGGUCCUGCCUUCUGGGGUUUGGGAUCAGAGUCCAACGAUGGGGCUUGAACCCCAGGCCUGCCUCAGGCAGACUGCGCCCGCUGUCUUCCACACCUGACCGGCCUUGAGGACUCUGUGAAGUCACCAUUGUGAAGAACAAGCUGUAAAGGAGGCCAGCUGCUGGAUGCCUACUGUACACGUGCCUCGAUGACCACGCACAGGAGCUUUCUUCUAAUGAACCUUUUCUGCGUUGGCCUCCUUUACUUGCCGGCUAGGUGUCUACACAAGAGAAACGAAGAACUGUGUCCACGCAGAGACUUGUAUACAAAUGUUCACAGAAGUGGUCUUUGUAGUCCCCCCAAAUGGAAACUCCCCAAACGUCCGUAAGCAGGGCUUCAUCUUAUGUAGAGUUUGCUUCCCUGUUUCUUGACUUUGCGUUUCACCAUGAGACAUUUCAAAGACUGGACAUGUCCACCCCAGCCAACUCCCAGUCUCUCAGAGAGAAGCCAAGCUCUCCCAGGAAGCAAACUGGCCGAAUGAACCUGGAUCAGCCAAACCCCAGCUGACUUGAGUAUCCUUGAAAAUAAAC